UACGUAGGGGGCAAGCGUUGUUCGGAUUUAUUGGGCGUAAAGCGAGCGCAGGUGGUUUAUUAAGUCUGGUGUAAAAGGCAGUGGCUCAACCAUUGUAUGCAUUGGAAACUGGUAGACUUGAGUGCAGGAGAGGAGAGUGGAAUUCCAUGUGUAGCGGUGAAAUGCGUAGAUAUAUGGAGGAACACCGGUGGCGAAAGCGGCUCUCUGGCCUGUAACUGACACUGAGGCUCGAAAGCGUGGGGAGCAAACAGG
Molecule: ribosomal RNA, 252 nt
Filed under: uncultured bacterium
Lineage: Bacteria
Description: partial 16S ribosomal RNA
Rfam family: Bacterial small subunit ribosomal RNA
Source: RNAcentral